This 934-nucleotide ribosomal RNA is filed under the name uncultured bacterium. Its description in RNAcentral is "bacterial SSU rRNA". It matches the Rfam family "Bacterial small subunit ribosomal RNA", at positions 94 to 1023 of the family's 1533-position model. The record is from RNAcentral.
ACCGGCGGAAGGUUGCGUAACGCCUGAGCAACAUGCCGGUAUCUGGGGAAUAAGCACCGGGAAACGGGGUCUAAUCCCCAUAUCAACAGAGUUCCACAUGAGCCUUGUUUGAAAGUCACGACGGAUACGGAUUGGGCUCGCGUGACAUUGGCUAGUCGGCGGGGUAACGGCCCCACCGAGGCGACGAUGUCUAGGGGUUCUGAGAGGAAAGGUCCCCCCACACUGGAACUGAGACACGGUCCAGACUCCUACGGGAGGCAGCAGUGAGGAAUAUUGGUCAAUGGGCGCAAAGCCUGAACCAGCCAUGCCGCGUGAAGGAUUAAGGCCCUAUGGGUCGUAAACUUCUUUUGUGGUGGAGCAAUAAGUGUUACGUGUAGCACGAUGAGAGUACAUCACGAAUAAGCAUCGGCUAACUCCGUGCCAGCAGCCGCGGUAAUACGGAGGAUGCAAGCGUUAUCCGGAUUUAUUGGGUUUAAAGGGUGCGUAGGCUGUGUCGUAAGUCAGGGGUGAAAGCCCAGGGCCCAACCCUGGAACUGCCCUUGAUACUGCGGCGCUAGAGUUCGGAUGCCGUGGGAGGAAUGAGUAGUGUAGCGGUGAAAUGCAUAGAUAUUACUCAGAACACCGAUUGCGAAGGCAUCUCACGAAUCCGACACUGACGCUGAGGCACGAAAGCGUGGGGAUCAAACAGGACUAGAUACCCUGGUAGUCCACGCAGUAAACGAUGAUAACUAACUGUCGGCGAUAAACAGUCGGUGGCCAAGCGAAAGCGAUAAGUUAUCCACCUGGGGAGUACGUUCGCAAGAAUGAAACUCAAAGGAAUUGACGGGGGCCCGCACAAGCGGAGGAACAUGUGGUUUAAUUCGAUGAUACGCGAGGAACCUUACCCGGGCUCGAACGGCUAGUGAACGACUCAGAGAUGAGAAGUUCUUUCGGA